CUACCAUGCAAGUCGAACGGAUCCUUCGGGAUUAGUGGCGGACGGGUGAGUAACACGUGGGAACGUGCCCUUUGGUUCGGAACAACUCAGGGAAACUUGAGCUAAUACCGGAUGUGCCCUUCGGGGGAAAGAUUUAUCGCCAUUGGAGCGGCCCGCGUAGGAUUAGCUAGUUGGUGAGGUAAAGGCUCACCAAGGCUACGAUCCUUAGCUGGUCUGAGAGGAUGAUCAGCCACAUUGGGACUGAGACACGGCCCAAACUCCUACGGGAGGCAGCAGUGGGGAAUCUUGCGCAAUGGGCGAAAGCCUGACGCAGCCAUGCCGCGUGAAUGAUGAAGGUCUUAGGAUUGUAAAAUUCUUUCACCGGGGACGAUAAUGACGGUACCCGGAGAAGAAGCCCCGGCUAACUUCGUGCCAGCAGCCGCGGUAAUACGAAGGGGGCUAGCGUUGCUCGGAAUUACUGGGCGUAAAGGGAGCGUAGGCGGAUAGUUUAGUCAGAGGUGAAAGCCCAGGGCUCAACCUUGGAAUUGCCUUUGAUACUGGCUAUCUUGAGUACGGAAGAGGUAUGUGGAACUCCGAGUGUAGAGGUGAAAUUCGUAGAUAUUCGGAAGAACACCAGUGGCGAAGGCGACAUACUGGUCCGUUACUGACGCUGAGGCUCGAAAGCGUGGGGAGCAAACAGGAUUAGAUACCCUGGUAGUCCACGCUGUAAACGAUGAGUGCUAGUUGUCGGCAGGCAUGCCUGUCGGUGACGCAGCUAACGCAUUAAGCACUCCGCCUGGGGAGUACGGUCGCAAGAUUAAAACUCAAAGGAAUUGACGGGGGCCCGCACAAGCGGUGGAGCAUGUGGUUUAUUCGAAGCAACGCGCAGAACCUUACCACCUUUUGACAUGCCCGGACCGCCUCAGAGAUGAGCUUUUCCCUUCGGGGACUGGGACACAGGUGCUGCAUGGCUGUCGUCAGCUCGUGUCUGAGAUGUUGGGUUAAGUCCCG
This 990-nucleotide ribosomal RNA is filed under the name uncultured bacterium. RNAcentral describes it as "bacterial SSU rRNA". It matches the Rfam family "Bacterial small subunit ribosomal RNA", at positions 49 to 1089 of the family's 1533-position model. The record is from RNAcentral.